This 328-nucleotide long non-coding RNA is filed under the name Carica papaya (papaya). RNAcentral describes it as "long non-coding RNA (CPAP_LNC000477)". Lineage: Eukaryota; Viridiplantae; Streptophyta; Magnoliopsida; Brassicales; Caricaceae. The record is from RNAcentral.
ACCUCUCCUAGCAAUGUUUCCCCCCCAGCGGUAGAUACAAGCAAAAAUGAAUCAAGUCUAUCAGGUGAUACACAAAUUUUGGAAGCAAGAACAUGUGAAAUAAAAGAAUCUGAUGCACCAGUAUCAAACAAAACAUGAGCAAUGUGGCCAGAGAUAGUAUACAUACCAUGUACCACGUCCGGGUCUGCGUCGGCAUCUUUCUGGGUAAGGUUGUAAACUCUGCCCUGGAUUGGAGGCCUCCCUUGAUUCUGAUUCCUAGGGCACUCCCUCGCAUAGUGCUGGGCACUGCCGCAUAUGCGACACGUGUUGUUGAGGCGGUAGCAGGGUC